Molecule: ribosomal RNA, 468 nt
Filed under: uncultured bacterium
Lineage: Bacteria
Description: partial 16S ribosomal RNA
Rfam family: Bacterial small subunit ribosomal RNA
Source: RNAcentral
GACGAACGCUGGCGGCGUGCUUAACACAUGCAAGUCGAACGGAAAGGCCCUGCUUUUGUGGGGUGCUCGAGUGGCGAACGGGUGGGUAACACGUGAGUAACCUGCCCUUGACUUUGGGAUAACUUCAGGAAACUGGGGCUAAUACCGGAUAGGAUCUCCUGCUGCAUGGUGGGGGUUGGAAAGUUUCGGCGGUUGGGGAUGGACUCGCGGCUUAUCAGCUUGUUGGUGGGGUAGUGGCUUACCAAGGCUUUGACGGGUAGCCGGCCUGAGAGGGUGGCCGGCCACAUUGGGACUGAGAUACGGACCAGACUCCUACGGGAGGCAGUAGUGGGGAAUAUUGCACAAUGGGCGGAAGCCUGAUGCAGCAACGCCGCGUGCGGGAUGACGGCCUUUGGGUUGUAAACCGCUUUCGCCUGAAACGAAGAGUGAGUGACGGUAAUGGGUAAGGAAGCACCGGCUAACUACGUG